This 845-nucleotide long non-coding RNA is filed under the name Fukomys damarensis (Damara mole-rat). Its description in RNAcentral is "lncRNA (ENSFDAG00000033026.1)". The record is from RNAcentral. Lineage: Eukaryota; Metazoa; Chordata; Mammalia; Rodentia; Bathyergidae.
GUGAUGAGGUGCAAAGUCUCCAUCUUUAUUCCCAAAUUGGACUUGAACAUCAAGCUUGAAGCCUGAACCUUGUUAUGAUGAGAUGCUGUGAGGCCGUACAAAGAAGAAGACAAGAUGAAGUCACACGGCCUUUCCCUGGACAUUGAGGCUUGAAUCCUGCUACCACAACUUUGGUGUUUUCCUCUGGACACAACUUCGCCAGCAAGGCAUGGUCAAACCAGCAAAGCAAACAAGAAUGGAAAUUAAUUUCCUGUUUCCAAUCAGGAAUGAAGAAUGUCUCCUUCUGAUACCCAGGAUGACGUGGAUCUCUUUACCUGAACAUUCUCUCCUAAUUCUUCUGAGAAUCUUCUCACCAGCAUAAUACCCACCACCCACCAGGCCAGGGACACGUAUACCAGGGACAGCUUAGCUGUUCUUGCUUACAAACUUCAGGCUUUUAUGGAUGCUCAGUUACUCAUUAUGCCAUUCCCUAGAAUCUUCUGGGUGCUGGACACUUAAGUCUGCCUACUGGAAACACAGAUCUCUUAGCUGACAAAUGGAGUCAUCUUGCCAUUCCUGCAGACACCAGGGAGAGUAGAAGAAACUCCAGCUCAGCCCAGGCCAGAAGGCUGAGUCAUAACAAAAACAAAUUGUUGCAGAUAACCGUGGUUUUGGGGUAGUUUCUGCACAAUAUAUUAUUGAAACAAUCUUAUACAUACACAGCCUCAACCUGAGAAUAGAAGGCUUGUGUUUCUCCCCCUGCAGGUGCUUCCUGACCUCUUGGUCCUGCUCUCCCAUCUCUCCCCUGUCAGCUGCCAGUAAUUCCUUAACCAACAGCAGCACUGGGAGCACCUGCCCAACCAGUU